AAGAGAGAGAGUAUGGGGGGUUGGCAGAAGGAGAGGAAGAAGCAGGCUUCCCCACUGAGCAGGGAGGGUCACCCCGCAUCCCAGACCCAGAGAGAUCAUGACCUGAGCCUGAAGCAGCCUCUCAACUGCUCAACCGACUGAGCCACCCAGGUGCCCUGGGGCAAAACACUUAUUAACGUCUCUCCUCAAUGGGCUGUGGGUCCCUUGAAGUCAGAGUCCACCCUGUUUUCUUCAACUGCUGUUCCUCAAGUGCUUAACAUAGUGCUGGAUACUUUAAUAAAUAUUUGAUGAAGCAAUGAAUAUCCCGUGGAAGUAGGGUCCCACAGAACACACCUUAUAAAACUAUUCACAUCUCUAUGGAAUAGUCCAAAGGACAACCGUCCCAAAUAGGAAGAUCACUUUGAAUCUCAUAGUCAAAUCCCAAUUUGUGAGGUUACUGUUAAGAGUACAAAGGCAUUUAUUGUUUGUGGUCAGAAAACUUCUCCUUUGCUCUCAAACUAUCUUCUCUUUGUAUCAAAUGAACCUGACCAUACAUUUCAAAUUCACUGCCUAUAAAAAUCUACUGAGGGGAACGUUUAAAAUGCAAGUCCUGGGAAUUCAGUAUUUCUAGAGUAUUUCUAGAGGAGCCCAGGACUCCACAUUUUGCACAAAUAUCCUAGGUCAUUCUGACAUAGGUGUUCAGGUGGAAUGUACUUUGAGAAAUGCUGACCAAGAGACACUGAGGAAAAGAGGAGUCCUUGACUUGGAAUCAGAAGCCUGUUGGAGGCCCAGAUCUGCAUCUCCACUACUCGUGUGGCCAUGGCAGGGGCCUCUCAGCUUUGCUUCCCUCUCUGUGGGACUCAUAAUACAUUUGAUAGUCUAUGUAUCUAGCUCCUACCCACCCACCUCACAGCAUUGGAUAAGGGGAAAGCAUUUAUGAAACUCUGCCCUGAAACCUAGCAGGUAUUCACACUGUUUAACAAAUCAGUAAGUUCACAGUUAUUUUAAAGUUCUAUGGUAUUAAACAAACUCUAUCACAGCAAGUGCUCAGCACAGAAAGAUUUUCUGCUGAUUCUUUAAAGAUAGACCCAAGAGAGUUGGACCAAUACUGUAUGCACCUGUAUCAGUCAACCUGGCAAAGUGUCCCUCAGAACAUUUGGCUCAUGCCUAUGGACACAAUAAUUAGCCAAAUCAUGGCAAGAGCCAACCUAUGUGACACUGGCCACAACAUACAGAAUGUUCAAAUCUUUCCUAUGCUUGUUACCAGACCUUCCCAGAGUGGACUCUUCACUCUUAAGUGAGUUAACAGCGAGAGUAAACUCUUUGGCUGGUGUCUAUGUAUUUACAGAGAUGGUUCUUGUUUAUCAAGUAUCUUCAUUAAUAAUAAUUAAUCAUUGUUCAAGAAGUACAACGCAAUGGAAUAUACAUAAUGAUAAUACAGUACUCCGCGUAUUUAAUUCUCUCUCCAUUCUGAAGACUCUUCUGGAGCCUGUAGCACUCGGGGUAAUUGCUGUGAAAACUGCUCAAUCAUCUUACAAGAAUCCUCUGAAAACACUAGAGACACUGUCAAUUGUUUCCUAACUUUGCGGUAUAUUCUGAAGCCUGCCUUCUGGCAUUGAUCCAAUAUUGCUUGUUAUUUAUCUUUUCUUUACAAAAUAAGGCAACAAGCUCAAUGACUGAAAAAUCUCUGCCAGAGACUCAUUAUUAAAAAUUUCCAACUAGUGGAAGUAUUACUGUACUUUCUAUAUAUAUUAGUCAUCAUUUUUUUGGUGUUGUCUGUAUUUGCCCUUCUGAUUUUAAACUUUUAAAUUUUAAGUGCUUAUCCCACAGCUCAAGCAUUCAGUGGAUAUACCUAAUAAAUUUCGUCGGCUCAUUGACCUGUGCUGAAGGAUAGCAGCAAGAGAGCUUGGAAACCUGAAUUCAUGCCGCGAUGUUUAUUUUCUAUGUUUGUCAUUGCCUUCGUGCUGCAUGUUCUGGUUGUGAUCUACUUUCCUUGUCUGUGUCUCCUGUUAGCAAGUAACAAAGGUGAUUGCUUACAGGGCUCAUGCAGGUAAGCCAGUAAAUGAAUCAAGCCUGGUUUGGUGACCCCAUCAAAAGAUGGCAGUGACAGCUGGCCCUCUGCUAACUACUGCCAUCAGAGAACACGUAAUGCAGUCCUGGCAGUCCUAGAUCUUCCAAUGUUUCCAGAGAAGCUGGGCAUAUAAUAGGUAUUCAAUAAAUAUUUACUGUAGCAAGUAAUUCAGAGACUCCGAUUUUCACCAGAAAUCUCUAGAUUUUAGAUGUCAGCAGCAUUAAGCAGUAGUAAGAUCACAGACUCUCCAGCCAGACUGCCCAGGUUCAAAAUUUAACUCUGUCACUUAUCAGCUACAUGACCUUGGGAAAGUUAUACGAAAACUUUAUGCUUAGUGUUCUCAUCUGUAAAAGGGGGAGAAAGGAAUUGUAUCAACCUCAUCGGGUUGUUUGAGAACUUAACUUUCUAAUAUUUAUUAAAUCUUGGAUGAUACGUGGCACAUUGCAAGUGUCACAUAAACACGGAAGCUCACACUUAAACUUCAAAACGCCUUAUAAUUUUCACACGUAUUAUCCCAUCUUUUCCCCACCGUAAGUGGUGGAUGAAUGUAUUGCCCUGUAUGCAAGGUAAUAGUUUCCAACAGGAUCUUUCAGGGCUGUUCAGGAUGACAGCCAUGCAAGCUACUCAUGCAGAACGCAGGGCAUGCACACUUAGGAAGUGUCUAGUCGGGCAGCCCGGGUUGCUCAGUGGUUUAGCGCCGCCUUCAGCCCAGGGUGUGAUCCUGGGGACCCGGGAUCGAGUCCCACAUCGGGCUCCCUGCAUGGAGCCUGCUUCUUCCUCUGCCUGUGUCUCUGCCUCUCUCUCUCUCUCCCUGUGUCUCUCAUGAAUAAAUAAAUAAAAUCUUUGAAAAAAGAAAGUGUCUAGUGAUUUACCCAAUAGCAUAUUCCAUAAAAGGACAGAUGUAGAAAAGCUGGUCCAAGACUUCUAAUGGACAGAAUCAGAGAUGUCUCAGUGUUCACCAUAAGCCAUGAAAUAAAAAAAGACCUGAUUCAAACCACUGUCUGGUUAUUUUUUAACCUAUACAUUAAUUACUCCAAAGCAGCCAAUGUGAGAGCAUAAGCAAAACCCUCAAUAAUGUGUAUUUAUAUUCCUCCCCUUUUUAUUCAUUUUUGCUUCUAAAUUGCAUUGUAAUAUUUUAGUUUCUCUUUUCUCUGCCUCCAAGACCUUUCUCCUGGGGACUUUACAAAUACAGGCCUAUGUGUAGAAACUGCUAAGUUAGGAACACUCUGUCAAUCUUUCCUUUGAUUUUCCUGGUUGUUGUUGGUUUAAGGCAGAUCCUUAAUGUUAUUUAAACAGAAGAGACUGUUUAGAAUUUCUUGGUAGAUGAAUUUGAUAAUGAUAAUUUUUUUAAAAAACAACUACUGUCUUCUUGGGAUAAAAGAUCUCAUUCAGGAGGGUAGACAGCUUAUCUGAAUAACUCAGGACUUCUUUGAAGAAAAAGGUCAAUGUAGCCAUAGAUGUUUCCUUGUCUUGAACAACAACAGUUACUUUAUGUAGUGCCUGAUAACCUGCAUUUCACAAAGUUGUUAUCUGGGCACUACAGAAGUCUUCUCUUUUUUAGGAUUUAGAGUUUUAAAUAUUCGUGUUGUUUAAAUCUGAGUCUUCUCAUGGAUGAGAAAAGCAUUUACUGUUAAAAAUAACUACUGCUAAAUUGGACUUCCUACAAAUUCAAAAUGUUUAUGAAUUGUGGGGCAUUAUCAAGAAAAUGAAAAACCCAGGGGUGCCUCAGUGUCCCAUCUCUUGAUUCGGGCUCAGGUCUUGAUCUCAUGGCUCCUGAGAUCAAGCCCCACCUAUGGCUCUGUGCUCAACAGGGGUCUGCUUCUCGCCCUCUGCCACUUCCCCUGCUUGUGGUGCUUGCUCUCUCUCUCUCUAAAAUAAAUAAAUAAUUAUUAAAAAAUAAAAGAAGAGAAAAAUUAAAAAAAAAAAAAAAAA
RNAcentral lists this long non-coding RNA (3982 nucleotides) under Canis lupus familiaris (dog). RNAcentral describes it as "lncRNA (ENSCAFG00000054653.1)". Lineage: Eukaryota; Metazoa; Chordata; Mammalia; Carnivora; Canidae. The record is from RNAcentral.